UACGUAGGAAGCAAGCGUUGUCCGGAAUUACUGGGCGUAAAGCGCGUGUAGGCGGUACGACAAGUCUGCUGUGAAAGCGCCCGGCUUAACCGGGCGAGGUCGGUGGAAACUGUCGCACUGGAGGCCGGUAGAGGGGGGUGGAAUUCCCGGUGUAGUGGUGAAAUGCGUAGAGAUCGGGAGGAACACCUGUGGCGAAGGCGGCCCCCUGGGCCGCGCCUGACGCUGAGACGCGAAAGCGUGGGGAGCGAGCCGG
This 253-nucleotide ribosomal RNA is filed under the name uncultured bacterium. RNAcentral describes it as "partial 16S ribosomal RNA". It matches the Rfam family "Bacterial small subunit ribosomal RNA", at positions 524 to 776 of the family's 1533-position model. The record is from RNAcentral.